UUGAAAAAACAAUGAAUGUCAACCAAGUUGUAGAUGGUAUCGAAUGUCUUCAGCAGUCAAGUCUACAAACAUUGCACACAACGCCCAUGCCCAUAAAUGAAGUACCACCAUCUGAUGACAUAGGAAAAACAGACUAGAUGUGAUGAAUGCACCUAAUACCUUCACUCCUUAUUUGCUAACAAUGUCUAUUACCAAUAGGGUGGAAAGAGGACUCAAUAAUUUGCAGGUCAUGGAGAUUUUCAUAAAUAAAAAAGACUUCGCAAGAUGCAUUAAAGAGGUUCUCCAUGCAUAUUUGGUGUCCUGACUUGUGAAAACAUGGAGAAGGUAGAUUUACAGUACAUUAGGUUAUAUUUGAAACUAUGCUAAGAAGUCUCCAGAGUUACUUUCUUCAUGCUACUAAUAGUGUACAAUUUUUUAUUGUUGCAUUGUAUAAUAACCACAAGCUUUAAGCUGUGUUGGUGGUAAAUCUGGGAAUAAGGGUGCAGAGGCAGCUUUAACUGCUA
Molecule: long non-coding RNA, 503 nt
Organism: Mangifera indica (mango)
Lineage: Eukaryota; Viridiplantae; Streptophyta; Magnoliopsida; Sapindales; Anacardiaceae
Exons: 2
Source: RefSeq, a predicted model, not a curated record